UACGGGAGGCAGCAGUGGGGAAUAUUGCACAAUGGGCGCAAGCCUGAUGCAGCCAUGCCGCGUGUAUGAAGAAGGCCUUCGGGUUGUAAAGUACUUUCAGCGGGGAGGAAGGCGAUGCGGUUAAUAACCGCGUCGAUUGACGUUACCCGCAGAAGAAGCACCGGCUAACUCCGUGCCAGCAGCCGCGGUAAUACGGAGGGUGCAAGCGUUAAUCGGAAUUACUGGGCGUAAAGCGCACGCAGGCGGUCUGUUAAGUCAGAUGUGAAAUCCCCGGGCUUAACCUGGGAACUGCAUUUUGAAACUGGCAGGCUUGAGUCUUGUAGAGGGGGUAGAAUUCCAGGUGUAGCGGUGAAAUGCGUAGAGAUCUGGAGGAAUACCGGUGGCGAAGGCGGCCCCUGGGACAAGACUGACGCUCAGGUGCGAAAGCGUGGGGAGCAAACAGGGAUUAGAUACCCGU
Molecule: ribosomal RNA, 457 nt
Filed under: uncultured bacterium
Lineage: Bacteria
Description: bacterial SSU rRNA
Rfam family: Bacterial small subunit ribosomal RNA
Source: RNAcentral